RNAcentral lists this ribosomal RNA (301 nucleotides) under uncultured bacterium. Its description in RNAcentral is "partial 16S ribosomal RNA". It matches the Rfam family "Bacterial small subunit ribosomal RNA", at positions 509 to 808 of the family's 1533-position model. The record is from RNAcentral.
CAGCCGCCACGGUAAUACAGAGGUCUCGAGCGUUGUUCGGAUUCAUUGGGCGUAAAGGGUGCGUAGGCGGCGGGGCAAGUCUGAUGUGAAAUCCCGGGGCUCAACCCUGGAACUGCAUUGGAUACUGCCUUGCUAGAGUACUGGAGAGGAGAUUGGAAUUUACGGUGUAGCAGUGAAAUGCGUAGAUAUCGUAAGGAAGACCAGUGGCGAAGGCGAAUCUCUGGACAGUUACUGACGCUGAGGCACGAAGGCCAGGGGAGCAAACGGGAUUAGAUACCCCCGUAGUCCCUGUCUCUUAUAU